GUCACACCAGGUCAUGGUCACGGUGAAGUCAUUCCUUGUACAAGGUUGCAAUCUGGAAAGGUUAUGUGUCACACCAGGUCAUGGUCACGGUGAAGUCAUUCCUUGUACAAGGUUGCAAUCUGGAAAGGUUCUGUGUCACACCAGGUCAUGGUCACGGUGAAGUCAUUCCUUGUACAAGGUUGCAAUCUGGAAAGGUUAUGUGUCACACCAGGUCAAGGUCACGGUGAAGUCAUUCCAAAAGGGUGUUUGCCAUUUUCAUUGCUUUGCCUAUACAAACUACUGCUCAUGUUUUGGUUUUAUAGUUUUGAACUCUUGUGUAUGAUAAGUGCCAAAAAUCUUGCAAAAGUCUGCAUGACCUACUUUCAUUAUGAAGCAAUGUCAUUCAGUCUCCAAAUUUUGCUAGCCAGUCGGGCUAGCUAUGCCUGUAAGUUACUUGGCCACAAAAUAAUUUACUACCCCAAAAUUUGAAUGAAGAAAGUAAGCAAAAGAUUGCAAAAAUAGAUGAGAAUAAGAUAUUGUCAGCAUGCCAUGGGUUUCAUCAUUAAGCUGCUAAUAUGAUGAACAUUUUUAUCAGGCCAUAAUCUUGGAUGAUUUAAGAAAGUGUUUUAACUUAUGUCAGAGGGUAAUGCAGAUACAAAAUGACCACAUGAAAAUUCACUAGCCAGUGACUGGAGACUUACUGGCCUGACUUGAUCUUUACUAACCACGGGCAAGCGGGCCAGUGGCUCUUUCACACACCGAUUUCAUUGUGAAACCAUGUGAUGUUUGGCCAUAUAGCCUGCCACUGCCUUAUGACCCAGGAAAUCAUUUUGGAAGGUCAAGGUCAUCCUCCAAGUUAAGGCUUUACUUUGUUGACUGAAAAAUGAUUUCCUGUAAGUCAUAUUUCAUGCUCAAGAGUGAUCUCUCUGUAGGUCUGUCUCUGUGAAGGUCAUGGGCAAAGUGUGCUUGACCUUUAUGCUUAAAGAUCCACUUAAGCCUGAUGAAUGUAGUGGUUGCAUCGUUAGUAUGGAAGUACAUGUGGCCCUCCUCCACAGCAUGUACUGUCUAACUCUCUCAGAUCCACUUGGACAGAGAAGCUGAAAGUCCCUCUGAUCACAGUUCCUGUAUAUGACUAUUUGGAGCUGUAUUCAGAAAGACAUUCAUGGUGACUGAUCUAGUCAAAAUGUCCUGUGAUUCUCUCAAAUUAUGUCAAAAUACAGUUUGGGGUAUGUUAACACCUCUAACACUGCCAGGCCGAGGAUGUGCACCUUUGACAUGUCUUCUCCUGGUGUUGACAUAAAUUAUUUUGAUUUAAAUUUUGAAUUUCUUAUUAAAACUUGAAACAGUUGUAGGGCAUUUUUCCAGUCAGAUAAGAUCCAUUAUGUUAAGCAAUGGAAAUAUAGUGCAUUACAAAGAUAGUCUAAAGUAGUACAUUCAUGUUCCUAAACAUUCCACAUUUAUGACUAUAUCCUUUACUUGUUUAUAUAUAGUUAUGUUUGCAGCUAAGACUGUUUAGGCAAGAGUCAAGGUCAUUAAACCAGAAACGGGACUUUGUGUGACAAAUUUGCUGCAUGUAACUUUCUUACUUGUGUUACAUGGCAUUUUCUGUUUCAAAUUAUUUCUGCUUUGGGUAUGCAUGUCAAUGAAAAAUAUGUGCUUGCUAGAUGUGCUUUGUUUUUGUUUGUUUGUUGUUUAACACGGAUCAUCAGAAGCACAAUGUUGAUGUAUGAAUGAUAAGAUAUGGAAGGGCCUGUUUCUGUUGUUUUUUUCAAAUAACCUUGACGGCUGAUAUGGACAAUGGGAUAUUUGUGACAAAUUCUUGUCAGACCUAAUGUUGGUUUUGAAAACGUACUGACUCACUCACUCACUUGUCCAUUGUUGAGAGGGACGGUGGGGUAGCCCAGUGGUUGAAGCGUUCGCUCAUCACCACGAUGGCCCAACUUAGAUUCCCCACUUGGGUAAAAUGUGUGAAGCCCAUUUCUAAUGUCCCCUGCCGUGAUGUUGCUGGAAUAUUGCAAUGUAAAAGCGACGUAAAACCAGACUCGCUCACUCACUCGCUCACCCAUCAAGUUUCAGAGUGAGCUGGCCCUGAUGCCAUCCAGGACGGUGUCCUCUCACUCACAGCAAUGUCUUUGUACAUCCUUCAAGACAAAUAUCGGUGCAGUCAGUGUCAUGUAAGGUUACAGGAAUAGAGAGAUUGUGUUUGAAGUAGUUACGGUUGAUUUUUGUGAUGAAAAUAAAGUUAGUUUUGUUUUUCAA
This 2238-nucleotide long non-coding RNA is filed under the name Haliotis rubra (blacklip abalone). RNAcentral's name for it is "uncharacterized LOC124288436". The record is from RNAcentral. Lineage: Eukaryota; Metazoa; Mollusca; Gastropoda; Lepetellida; Haliotidae.